Molecule: small nucleolar RNA, 80 nt
Organism: Molossus molossus (Pallas's mastiff bat)
Lineage: Eukaryota; Metazoa; Chordata; Mammalia; Chiroptera; Molossidae
Source: RefSeq, a predicted model, not a curated record
GCAGUGCCAGAACACAUGCAAGCACGUAACUGGGGCCGAGGGCUCCCCGCCGGUGGCCCUUUUAACUGCUGGUGACAGGG